UGGGGAAUAUUGCACAAUGGGCGAAAGCCUGAUGCAGCGACGCCGCGUGAGGGAUGACGGCCUUCGGGUUGUAAACCUCUUUCAGCAGGGAAGAAGCGCAAGUGACGGUACCUGCAGAAGAAGCACCGGCUAACUACGUGCCAGCAGCCGCGGUAAUACGUAGGGUGCGAGCGUUGUCCGGAAUUAUUGGGCGUAAAGAGCUCGUAGGCGGCUUGUCGCGUCGGAUGUGAAAGCCCGGGGCUUAACYCCGGGUCUGCAUUCGAUACGGGCAGGCUAGAGUUCGGUAGGGGAGAUCGGAAUUCCUGGUGUAGCGGUGAAAUGCGCAGAUAUCAGGAGGAACACCGGUGGCGAAGGCGGAUCUCUGGGCCGAUACUGACGCUGAGGAGCGAAAGCGUGGGGAGCGAACAGGAUUAGAUACCCUGGUAGUCCACGCCGUAAACGUUGGGAACUAGGUGUGGGCGACAUUCCACGUUGUCCGUGCCGCAGCUAACGCAUUAAGUUCCCCGCCUGGGGAG
RNAcentral lists this ribosomal RNA (515 nucleotides) under uncultured bacterium. Its description in RNAcentral is "bacterial SSU rRNA". It matches the Rfam family "Bacterial small subunit ribosomal RNA", at positions 355 to 880 of the family's 1533-position model. The record is from RNAcentral.